ACCUCAAAUCAGGUAGGAACACCCGCUGAACUUAAGCAUAUCAAUAAGCGGAGGAAAAGAAAAUAACAAUGAUUCCCCUAGUAACUGCGAGUGAAGAGGGACAAGCUCAAAUUUUAAAUCUAUCGGAUUUUACCCGAUCGAGUUGUAAUUUGAAGAAGCGUUUUCUGCGUUUUUGAUCAGCCCAAGUCCUAUUGAAUGAGGCAUCAUGGAGGGUGAUAAUCCCGUCCGGUUGAUCAUUUGCGUUUUACGAUACGCUCUCUAAGAGUCAAGUUGUUUGGGAUUGCAGCUUAAAAUGGGAGGUAAAUUUCUCCUAAGGCUAAAUAACGGCGAGAGACCGAUAGCGAACAAGUACCGUGAGGGAAAGAUGAAAAGAACUUUGAAAAGAGAGUUAAACAGUACGUGAAAUUGUUGAAAGGGAAACGAUUGAAGCCAGUCGUACCUUCGGGUAAUCAGCCUUUCGGGUGCGAUUCUGUGGAGUGUGAGGAGCUUAACACCUUCAUGCUUUGCAUAUUUGUGCUCUUGGGUGUACUUGCUCGUGUGGUUGGUUAACAUCAAUUUUGAUUAUCAUAAAAUGAUUGGAGGAAUGUAGCUUCGAUCUCGUAUUGAAGUGUUAUAGCCUUCGGUAGAUGUGAUGAUCGAGAUUGAGGAUUGCAACGGAUACCCUUCGGGGCUACCUGUCUGGUCUCUGAUCGUUGCUCUGGUGCCGAAAGCGUGCUUACGGUUAUCAAAGUCGAUGGUCAAUAGGUUAGAACGGGUUAAAUUCGUUAAGGAUGUUGACGUAAUGGCUUUAAACGACCCGUCUUGAAACACGGACCA
RNAcentral lists this ribosomal RNA (816 nucleotides) under Glomus sp. Att1485-12. RNAcentral's name for it is "eukaryotic LSU rRNA". It matches the Rfam family "Eukaryotic large subunit ribosomal RNA", at positions 1 to 668 of the family's 3401-position model. Lineage: Eukaryota; Fungi; Glomeromycota; Glomeromycetes; Glomerales; Glomeraceae. The record is from RNAcentral.